ACUGACGCUCAGGGACGAAAGCGUGGGUAGCGAACGGGAUUAGAUACCCCGGUAGUCCACGCCGUAAACGAUGGAUACUAGUUGUUGGAGGACUCGACCCCUCCAGUGACGUCGCUAACGCAUUAAGUAUCCCGCCUGGGGAGUACGGUCGCAAGAUUAAAACUCAAAGGAAUAGACGGGGACCCACACAUGCGGUGGAGCAUGUGGUUUAAUUCGACGAUAAGCGAGGAACCUUACCUGGACUUGACAUCCCGAGAAUUUCCCCGAAAAGGGAAAGUGCCGCAAGGAACUCGGUGACAGGUGCUGCAUGGUUGUCGUCAGCUCGUGCCUUGAGGUGUUCGGUUAAGUCCGUGAACGAGCGCAACCCUUGUCCUGUGUUGUAUUUUCACAGGAGACUGCCGGCCCUAAGUCGGAGGAAGGUAAGGAUGACGUCAAAUCAGCAUGGCCAUUAUGUCCAGGGCUACACACGUGCUACAAUGGCAGGUACAAUAGGCAGCAAACCCGCGAGGGGGAGCCAAUCCUCAAAAACCUGUCCUAAGUUCGAAUUGAUGGCUGCAACUCGCCAUCAUGAAGUUGGAAUCGCUAGUAACCGCGCAUCACCCAUGGCGCGGUGAAUAUGUUCCUGGGUCUUGUACUCACCGCCCGUCACGUCAUGAAAGGUGGAGGCACCCUGAAGUACC
This 680-nucleotide ribosomal RNA is filed under the name uncultured organism. RNAcentral describes it as "bacterial SSU rRNA". It matches the Rfam family "Bacterial small subunit ribosomal RNA", at positions 739 to 1430 of the family's 1533-position model. The record is from RNAcentral.